UAUAUAUAUAUAUACACACACACACGUAUUGUAUGUAUGUGUGUGUGUGUGUAUAUAUACACAUACACACGUAUUAAGUGUGUGUGUGUGUGUGUAUA
This is a non-coding RNA of Pelobates cultripes (western spadefoot toad), 98 nucleotides long. NCBI's taxonomy places the organism in Eukaryota, Metazoa, Chordata, Amphibia, Anura, Pelobatidae. The record is from the annotation of a GenBank genome assembly.